CAAUUGCGAUUUAUCAACGAUACAACAAUCAAGGAUGACGGCAAAAAGUCGCAAGAUUUCUUUACAACGCGCUGCGUAUAGCUUAUCAUUGAGCUGAUUGAUGGAUGAUUAGAUAUUCUACCUUAAGCAAUUUUGUCCCGGUAAACAUGGAGACCAAUCAUUUUCGCAAGCGUUAGAUAAGCCGAAGAACAAAAAAGGACGACGUCGACCAUUGCAGCUAUUUCGCCGUUGUUCAGAUAAAGUUCCGCAGUAGUGUGUACUGCAAAGGUCGCCUAAUUGAUCGUAAAUAAGUUUUAUGUUCUGGUGAAUGAUAAUAAGCUACCAUACAAACUUGGACAAUCUGCGAUUUUUACUAUUUGGUGGCAAAAUUUAUUCAAUAUUGAUUAAUGCAGUGAAAUAGAAAAUGACAAUGAUAAUUAUGAAUAUUAUAAUGAAGAUGUAUAAUUGUACGUCAUAUGAAUGCUAAAAAUCAUUGACUAUUACGAUGCUGAGAAUGAUGAGUGAGUGAACCGAGUGAUCCAAAAGGCGAAUCAACAAAACCAAUCAACAAAAGUUCACCAACAUGAAAAAAAUGAAAAAGAGGCGAGGAAUGAUAAUGAAGAAGUAAUUGUUAAGUCAGAUCUGUAUCAAAAUAAGAUUUUGAUAAGUAAAAAUCUGAAUCAGAAAAAAAAUAUGGACCAGUAUCUGUUAGUUUAACAGAAGAAUAGGCAAAAAGACGAAGAUUCAUAUAGCAAAAGAAAAGAGUGCUAAUAGGCCUUAUUACCAUCAAGCUUUCACUUUUAACUUUCAAGAAAAACAAUGACAAAAUGAUGACCACUCACACAGUACCAUUGGCAAUAAUUUAGAGAUGGAAAAUAAUCAGAAUGGAGUUAGAAUACUAUAAAAACAAGACAACUUAUUUGAAACAAAGAAUGCAAAGUAGGUACUUUACUGCGGAUCGAGAAAUAAUCAACAACUAACGCAAUUAUGUAUCUUAUAUAAAGGCUUACAUACAAUUUUACAAGUGCAUACCGCAAUAUCGCAUAACAGAUUAGCUUCGACCAAUAUUUUAAUAAAUAUUAUGGAAUUUUAAUGAAUUUCGAUUGAUUUCUAUAGAUUCUUAAAUCAUUCAAUGACUUUUUUAUGAAUUACGAUAAUUAUUGGACCGCAUUUUAAUCGUACGGGCAGAGAUAUUGAAUGUGGAGAAUCAGAGGACGAAAAUUUUGUAUUUUAGACAAAAAAAAUGAUCACAGAUGAAGGAUUGCCUAUAGAUGUCGUCUAUGAUUCUCUAGCCCUUUUAGCAAUCAAGAUUAGCCUUAAAGCGUUGAAAAGUAAUACGAUGCCAAAUUUUCGAAAAGAAACUAUUGUAGUUUCAUAAACUAAUGGACAAAAAUAUAAAGCUAUAUUAUCGUUGUUAUUCGAUACUAUCAAAUUUUAUACAUUUAUCAGUUGUAAACCGUGGACAAGAUAGAAAUCUGUACUAUAAGAGACAAAAUUGUUUACGAUGCUAUAAAUCGUGUGACCAAAUUUAUCUUUCUGUUGAGCUGCAUUCAAUUGAUAUGAUUUAUUUAGGUGACUGACAUACAAAUAAUACAUUUUUUAAAGCUAUCUUAAUAUACCUUAAUGUUCAACUUUACAGUUCUUUAAAUCUUCACAGAAACGAGAUUUAAUAAGCUUUGCUGAGAUAUAAAUAAAUGUAAAAGCUAUAGAGCUAUGGAGCGUUAUAAAUAUAACUGUAUAUUUUUAAUUCUUAUUUAAAAAUCAGACAUAGCAACACUUAUAAGGAAUGAAAGUGCGUUGUAAUUUCGAGAAAACAUUUUUUAACGGUCUGAUAAAUAUUAGUAUUACCAGUAAUAAAAUAAUUAGGUAUAUUGUAUUUUAUAAUGAAGAAGCUUUGAAGCAAGCGUUUAUGCAAAUUAUACUGUAUGGAAAUA
This is a long non-coding RNA of Phymastichus coffea, 1913 nucleotides long. RefSeq lists it as uncharacterized. NCBI's taxonomy places the organism in Eukaryota, Metazoa, Arthropoda, Insecta, Hymenoptera, Eulophidae. The transcript has 7 exons. The record is from RefSeq and is a predicted model, not a curated record.